AACGGUCUAUACCUGCGGUACCUGCGGAGGGAUCAUUAUAGAGUGGUAAACCUCCCGUAAAAAGGGGGGGACCUCCCGUCCUUUGCAGGCUCUUUUUUAAGGGGCUUUUUUGACUUUCUGCUUCGGUGGGGUUAUCCUACCGGAACAACUUCAAAACUCUGAAUCAAAAAAAUCGUUCUGUCCGAGGGCUUUUUUAUAAAAUAAAAAAAAACUUUCAACAACGGAUCUCUAGAUCGGAAG
RNAcentral lists this unclassified non-coding RNA (240 nucleotides) under soil metagenome. Its description in RNAcentral is "partial contains 5.8S ribosomal RNA, internal transcribed spacer 2, and large subunit ribosomal RNA". The record is from RNAcentral.